This 468-nucleotide ribosomal RNA is filed under the name uncultured bacterium. RNAcentral describes it as "partial 16S ribosomal RNA". It matches the Rfam family "Bacterial small subunit ribosomal RNA", at positions 28 to 507 of the family's 1533-position model. The record is from RNAcentral.
GACGAACGCUGGCGGCGUGCUUAACACAUGCAAGUCGAACGGAAAGACCCUGCUUUUGUGGGGUUCUCGAGUGGCGAACGGGUGAGUAACACGUGAGUAACCUGCCCUUAACUUUGGGAUAACUUCAGGAAACUGGGGCUCAUACCGCAUAUGAGCUCCUGCUGCAUGGUGGUGGUUGGAAAGUUUCGGCGGUUGGGGAUGGACUCGCGGCUUAUCAGCUUGUUGGUGGGGUAGUUGCUUACCAAGGCUUUGACGGGUAGCCGGCCUGAGAGGGUGACCGGCCACAUUGGUACUGAGAUACGGACCAGACUCCUACGGGAGGCAGCAGUCGGGAACAUUGCACAAUGGGCGGAAGUCUGAUGCAGCAACGCCGCGUGCGGGAUGACGGCCUACGGGUUGUAAACCGCUUUCGCCUGUGACGAAGCGUGAGUGACGGUAAUUGGUAAAGAAGCACCGGCUAACUACGUG